This 156-nucleotide ribosomal RNA is filed under the name uncultured Stenotrophomonas bacterium. RNAcentral's name for it is "partial 16S ribosomal RNA". It matches the Rfam family "Bacterial small subunit ribosomal RNA", at positions 378 to 526 of the family's 1533-position model. Lineage: Bacteria; Pseudomonadati; Pseudomonadota; Gammaproteobacteria; Lysobacterales; Lysobacteraceae. The record is from RNAcentral.
GAAGCCUGAUCCAGCCAUGCCGCGUGGGUGAUGAAGGCCUUCGGGUUGUAAAGCCCUUUUGUUGGGGAAGAAAGCCUUCGGCCUAAUACCCGGGGGGGUUGACGGUCCCCGAAGAAUAAGCCCCGGCUAACUUCGUGCCAGCAGCCGCGGUAAUAA